RNAcentral lists this ribosomal RNA (301 nucleotides) under uncultured bacterium. RNAcentral describes it as "partial 16S ribosomal RNA". It matches the Rfam family "Bacterial small subunit ribosomal RNA", at positions 509 to 807 of the family's 1533-position model. The record is from RNAcentral.
CAGUAGCCACGGUAAAACGGAGUGGGCUAGCGUUGUUCGGAAUUACUGGGCGUAAGGCGCACGUAGGCGGCUUGGUAAGUUAGAGGUGAAAGCCCGGAGCUCAACUCCGGAAUUGCCUUUAAGACUGCCGAGCUAGUAGGUGAGAGAGGUAAGUGGAAUUCCGAGUGUAGAGGUGAAAUUCGUAGAUAUUCGGAAGAACACCAGUGGCGAAGGCGGCUUACUGGCUCAUCCUAGACGCUGAGGUGCGAAAGCGUGGGGAGCAAACAGGAUUAGAUACCCCAGUAGUCCCUGUCUCUUAUAC